Molecule: ribosomal RNA, 482 nt
Filed under: uncultured bacterium
Lineage: Bacteria
Description: partial 16S ribosomal RNA
Rfam family: Bacterial small subunit ribosomal RNA
Source: RNAcentral
GACGAACGCUGGAGGCGUGCUUAACACAUGCAAGUCGAACGAUGAAAUGGAGCUUGCUCCAUGGAUUAGUGGCGAACGGGUGAGUAACACGUGAAUAACCUGCCCUUAAUUUUGGAAUAACCCAGCGAAACCUGGGCUAAUACCGGAUAAGUAAACCUGUGGCAGCACAUGGUUUUGGAAAGUUUUUCGAUUAAGGAUGGAUUCGCGGCCUAUCAGCUUGGUGGUGAGAUAAUGGCUAACCAAGGCGACGACGGGUAGCCGGCCUGAGAGGGUGAACGGCCACACUGGGACUGAGACACGGCCCAGACUCCUACGGGAGGCAGCAGUGGGGAAUAUUGCGCAAUGGACGAAAGUCUGACGCAGCGACGCCUCGUGAGGGACGAAGGUCUUCGGAUUGUAAACCUCUUUCAGCAGGGACGAAGCGAAAGUGACGGUACCUGCAGAAGAAGCACCGGCUAACUAUGUGCCAGCCGCCGCAGUAA